Long non-coding RNA from Passer domesticus (house sparrow), 8419 nucleotides. RefSeq lists it as uncharacterized. NCBI's taxonomy places the organism in Eukaryota, Metazoa, Chordata, Aves, Passeriformes, Passeridae. The record is from RefSeq and is a predicted model, not a curated record. The transcript is spliced from 5 exons.
GCCCGGGGACGUCUCGCUUCAUCUGUCACCAGCUCUGCUCGCCUGCCCAGCUGUCAAAACAGGGGGUGUCUUUUUCAUUCCAGCUCACAAAGUACCAAAGGGGAAAGGGGCUUUAAUGCCUGUGUUUGGACACAAGCAAUUAUCCCUAAUUAUUGUUUUUCUUUUGAGCCUGCCCGUCCUGCUGGAGAGCCAGCAGAUGAGCAUGCCCUAAUCCUCCCCAGUCGGUUGAUCUCAGUGGGUUUUGCGGGACAAACCGGGCGAGAAGGCUUCGUAGCUUUCAUCUCGAUGUGAGUUUUGAACUGAUUGAAACUCAUUGCGAUGGAAGAAUUAACCUCGGAGCCCAGGCUUUCAAUGGCCCCUGAUAAGAGAUUAUACGUGUUGAUGGCAAGCUUUUCUUGGCAAAAUGUUUUCAAAGGGCUCGGAGCUGUUAAAUCAAAGCCCUAUUGAAUUGCUGGUAGGCCUCUCAGAGCUCUCCCCCCUUCUUCAUUCCUGUGUGUUGGUAAUUACUAGCAGGGGUGGGAGAAGGAAAACAGAAAAUCCCCUCGGAGGUACACACACAUGCGCACAAAGGUGAUGGGCAACAUCAAGCAGAGAAGUACGAGGAAGCCAGUGGAAGACCAAGGUCUAACAAAAGAAAAUCUUCCAGGAAAUAGAGGAGGAGAUAAGGAUUUUCCAUUGGAAAAACAGUCCAUUUCAAGAUAAAUGCUGACAAGGCACCCACUGCAGGAAUGUGUUGAGCUGGAGACAAAAAUCUGCUGGCAGGCAAGGAGAGAUGUUUGGAUGGCCCAAAUCUUGUUCACUUACUAGGCAGGGCCAUGGGACAGGGUUAUUACAUUGAUGUGCUGAUUGUUUGAUGAGAAAAAGAAAGCAUUGAUAUCCAAGACCAGAAACAUGUUAACAAACAAACAAACAAAAUAAUUUUGGGAAUGCUACUGACAGUAAAAUACUACCUUCUCCACUAUGUUAGCAUGUGGUGGUAAUGAGGACGUAGUGGAAGCAGUGGCAGUAUGAAGAUAUAAAAACAGCUUGAUGGAUAAGAUAUCUGGGAACUGCCUUAGAGAGGGGAGAUCAGCGCAGGUAGGAGCUGGAGUGCUGUAAACCCAUACAACAACCUGUGGAGGUAUUAGAGCCAGCUGCCUCGUCUGAUGCUCCAGCCAAAGGAGGAGGCCUAGGUUCCAAGCUAUUCAAAGUGUGUGCUGCAGGAUGGUAGUCAUACUACCCAGACCAUCCAUUUUUAAAUUUUACUGUUUAUGGCAUUUGCUUUUUCUCUCUAAUAAUAGUCCAUAUUUUUAGAGCUCUAUGUUUAAAAUAUUUUCUUGUGAGGAAACAUAUUUGGGUUUUAGAAUGCUUGACUGAAUACUGGUAUGCCUUGUCUUCCCAGAUCCUGAUCCAAGUUCUAGCCACAGUAAUUUACUGAAAUGACCUUGAGAUCAGCCCUUUAUAAUGCUUGGUGUUUGCCAGAACACAAACAUGUAAUAUUUUUUUCUUCAUUUAGAAGCUUAAGCCAUAAUACUUAAAUAAUAUAACUAAACUGCAAUUACCUGUGCUUAGGCAGUACAAAUGCCAGAACAGUAACCUUUGCUUUUAACAUGGCAUUAAAUUGCCACAAAAAUCCAAGUUGUUUGGGUUCCCUUCAGCUUGUAUUUUAUCAUGGAAAUUUCUUGCCAGCAGAUCUUUCAGUGAGAGUAUUGAUAGCUUUUGCAAAGUAGGCUUUUAAGUUGAAAAUUUGUAAGGUUCAUUUUCUUGUUUGUUUGCUUUUGUCAAAUCUUAACAAAGAUUUGUUAAAAUGCUAAGAUACUUAACAACAGCAUCUUAACAACAACUGGAAUUACAUAAUGAAAAAUUUGGCUUAUUCACUUCUUACUGUUGACUAGGCCUAUGAUUUUUGUGGAGAAUAAUAAUAGCUUUACUUGUUUUGGUUGUUGAAGUGCUCUGCCACAGCAUCCUAUAGAGUUCAUAGGCUGUGCAGGAUCUUAGGAAAGCUAUACAUUGCAAAGAGUUUCUUCUUCUUUGGUGAAGUGCCUAAAUCAUCGCUAAACCUUUGCAAAGUUUAUUGGUAAGAAUGUACUUGCAGAGAUUAUACUCUUUAUAGAAGCAAGUAGGUACAAUGUGGAUUUUACAGCAACCAUAGGAUGAAAGGAACCUGUAAUAGGAUAGAAGACAAGCCUGUAGUAGAAGAGGUAGAGUAACUGUGUAAAUAUUUGGCAAUUCUGAAGACAUCUAAGGCUAAGACUGUUUCACUGCUACUUCAGAAAUGCCUGCAAGCCCCAAAUAGUUAAAAAGUUUGCCACUUGAAAUAGUGCGUGUCCAGCUUGUAAAGUUAAAGAUUUGGGGUCAGCCCCAAAGGCUUUAAAUUUUUUAUACUCAGUGAGAAGCAGCACUUGGAUCCAACAAGGAGAUGGUGGUAAUGUGGUAUAAUAACAACACACUUAUUAGCAGCUGCAGCACACCAGCUCACAGACCAACAGAUGCAGUCUUUGUUGCCAAAUAGAAAGACUGAUAGCACAUAAUACAGUAACAGAGCCCCUGAGGUUCUUGGGAUCAGAAAAGUAUUUUGGGUUGGUAGUUUUCGUGGACUUGACAUAUUGAAACAGUUUUGGCUCUAACAGCCUCUGACCAAAUUCUUGAUAUAAAAAUAACUAACUUGACCAUUUGUAGUUCUCUAUCCCAUUCAUGCCAGGACUUCCAAUGUCUCAGCUGUCAGUCUCUUGACUUAGCAAAAGAGUCCUUGUUCCCUAGAGCAAGGAGGCCCUAUUAGUAUUUUCUAUUGAGAUAUUUCAUGGAUAAAUUCCACAUGUUGCAGGACCACUGUUGGUCACAUAAACUUGUUAACCAACCCAGAGAGAGCGUUGCUAUAACUAUUUGCUUAAGUCACAAAGAAUUGCCAUCUAAUCACAUACAAACAGCUACACAGUACUGUCCCCUCCACCACAUUUCUCUUUGCCAUAGCUCAAUAAAUGCUCCAUUAUUCAAAGCAAUAGCUAGACCAUUUAGAAUUAAAAUUCAGUUGUUGCUCAGCAGGAGCAAAGGGGAGAUCUUAUGUGAAAGUACUGUGUAGUCCAAAUAUCAUUGUCCCUAUUCUUUCUACAUGUUACUUUCUUCAGAAUAUUUCUAUUGGUGUCUGCAAUUGUUUUAAACACUUACUAUCACUGAAGGACAAAAAAUGCUGGGAAUAGGUACCACACAACCUGUGCCAAGUACUUAAUAUAUGGUAUUACAGAGAGAGAGACCAGUGUUUGUAUCUGGAAUCUAGCUGCCAAGCAUUAAAUCAUUUUUUAGAUCAAAGUGAAUCCCUAUUUUCAACUUCCACUUGUUUUAUAAUAAUAAGGUGUUAAAGUAAAAGAUAAAUGUUAUCCUUAUGAAGCAAAAGUUUUCCUAGGUAAGAUAAUUGUAUUUCUGUAUAUCUUCAUAUAAUGUAACAGGGUUUUGAAAAAAAAAAUGAGCCCAAGGAAAUCUGCAAACACUUAAAAGAAGAACCAGAUUUUAUGUUUUAUGAGAUCGAAAAGAAAAAAUAUUCUAGUUGUAGCAGGUGCCACAAACCACAGAGAAGAAACUACAGAGAUUAAUUAUAACCAAAUAUAUCAAGGAAAAGAAAUGCUAGCCAGUAAAAUUUCAUGAAGUAAAAACAAUAGAAAAGUAAGAUAAGACACACAUCAAUGGGCUCAGACAUUACUCAGUUGUUAAGAGAUGCUUUGCUGACACAAUGUUGUUCUGGCAUGUUAAUUCUGGCACACUGUCCACAAGAUACAUGUCUAAGAUGCAGAGUAAUAUGUAAAAAAUCUGGUAUUCUUCAUAGAUGAAAAAUCUUGGAUUAACUCAUUUUGCUAUUGUGCUUUCUAUAACUAUAUCAGAAGGGAAUCUUAGUACAGAAUAUUUUGUUCAAUAUCCCUUGCAUAUAGGUUAGUACAUCCAUUAUAUUAUUUAAAUUGUUAUGUUUACCAAAUGUUUCACUUAUUUUUCUACUGUUGUUCUGUUUGAAAUAUACAUUUUAAAAAAUAACUAAAUACAUAUUUCAUAAAAUCUCUUUCAUUUGCAAAUUCCAGAGAACAUUACUGGUAAUUUCCCAGUACUAAGCUAUAGAUCUUGGCCAAAGCUUACCUUUUACCCCAAAUGCAAUACUAUAGCUUGCCUGUGCAGAUUCCCCAGACACCCCUGUAUGUUCAGCUGCACAGUUCAUAUCCACUCACAGCUUCAUUUCAGCUGUAAACCUACUGUCUCUACUGGCCAUACGCAAAUGGGUAUAGAUGUGAUCAGGGACACAUGUUUAAAGGAUUUAUUUCAAGUUUUGAAUAGUUUGUCACCUUGAGGGUUUCAGCUUGUUUAGAGGUUUAUUCUGACCAGUUCGAUGACUCACAGGGAGAAAGAGCCUUUUUCUUUUUAAAGCUUGAGCAGAUGACAAGCACUUUGAGAUUAAAACCAGGACUACUGGAGACAUUUUUUCCCCUGUUUUUGUUUGGUUGAUUUUUUCUGGUUGUUGUGGUCUUGGUUUUGUUUGCUUAUUUGAUUGUUUUGGUUUAAGAUUUGUUUGAAUGGGUGUCAUAUUGUAAUGUUUCUCUCCUCUCACAACACAUCCCCAAAACACACUGUGCAAAUUUCCCUGGACACAAGUGAGAGCAGAAUGGGAUGCAAGGGGCCUCCAAGUAUUAAUGACUUGAGCAAGGAGUGGCAGCAAGGGCUGAGUGACAGCAAGUGCUGUUGAAAUUCACACUCUAAUGUAGCUAUCUGAGUUAGGAAAAUUAAUGCAUCCAAAUAUCCUGGUGGAACUUUGAAAUCAGGAGAAUGUCUGCAUGAGGGCUUCCAUACCCACAGAAAUGAGAAUUUAGAAACACAGGAGGAAAUCACUGCAUCAAACUCUCUGAUCAUAAUGUCUCUUGAAAAAACACCAAGAGACCUUGGAAAGAGAGACUAUAUGCAGAGUGGUCAAUAUGCGUGUCACAAAUCGUAUAGUCUAAGCACCAAGUGCAGCUCUUCUUCCUGAUGGUCUGUGGCUGGCUGUGGCCAAAUUCCCCAUGAAAUACAAGACAAUAAACACUGGAGAUCCUAAAGACACCUGAUUUAUCUUGAGACAUAUCUUCAAAUACUGCCCAGACAUGUCUCCUAGUGGAGCCGUGGAACUUCGGCUGGCCUUUGUUGUAUCUCAGGGGCUCUCUGUUUCCCUCUUUUCAGAACUGUGUGAUACAUGUCUUUCAUUUCUCGGACCCUGAAGAUUCUGGCAUACAGUUUGUGUUAUAUGAGGUGGUGCUCAUGCCUGGCCUCAGGCUCAGAGCUUGGGGAGCUUUGACAUGAAGAUGGCAGUCUGAAGUCCCUGCAAAAAAGCAAGUGAUGGAUAAUAUCCCUGACAAAUUACCCUGAUGGUUCCCUCUGAAUCUGAAGUGGUGGCAUAUAAUCAAAAUCUAACAGCAAGCAGAAAAAAGGCAAAGCAUAUUCUCUGUGCUACUUUAAGAGUGCCAGUCCAGAUUUUCCUCCAGCCUAUGCUUGUAACGAGUCUUAAAGCCAAGUGGAAAAGACAACCCUCCUAACUAGAAUAAAUACGCUGCAGCAUGUGCUAGUGGGAAAAAUACCUUAUAUUCCCUUUGCAAAGUCCUAGCUGAAGCCAUAACACAACAUGUUUUUCUUUUGUUGAGUUUCGUCAGAUCUUUUCAAUUAAUUGUACAUAUGAGAUACUUUCAGUUGAAACAAAAUACAUGACUCAAAAAUAAAGGCAUAAUUAAAAAUAAAUACUUCUAUACUUAAAUUUUAACUAUGAUGCAUAUCUGCCUUUUGUGUGUGUCAUUUCUUUGGACUUGUGUGGCAAGUUUAUGGUAGUGUGGGAGUUAUGGUUACAGGGGCAGCUUCUGUGAGAAGCUAUCAGAAGCUUCUCCUACAUAAUUGCCUCAACCAAGCCCAUGCCAGCUGGCUCCAAGAUGGAUCUGCCACUGCCAAAGCUGAGACCAUCAGUGAUGGUGGUAGAACCUACGGGAUAAUGUAUUUUAAAAAAAUGGGGGGUAAGUUACUGUGCAUGUUCAAAUUUCAGCCAGAGAAGAAAGGAGUGAAAUUAUGCAAAGGAAAAACAUGGUCAGUGAAGAAGGACAGGAAAGAGGUGCUCCAUGCACCAGAGCUGAGAUUCUGUCGCCUGUAGCGUGAUGCAGAUCAUGGUGAGGCAGCCAUGCCCCUGAAGCCCCUGGAGGAGCACAGCGGAGCAAAGAUCCACCUGCAGCCUGUGCAGGACACCACACCAAAGGAGGUGGAUGCCCUCAAAGGAGACUGUGACCGUAUGGGAAGCCUGUACUGUGGGACAAAAGGACCUAUACCCACUGGAGAGAGACUAGACUGCAUAGCAAGUUUGUUGGCAGAACUUAUGACCCCAUGGGGUAUCCUCUCUAGAGCAUUCAGAUCCUGAAGGACUACACUCCAUGGAAGGGACCAAUACUGGAGCAGUGGAAGAGUGUGAGGGUCCUUCUACAAGGAAGGAGAGGCAGAGACAAUGUGUGUUGAACUGACCACAACCCCCAACCUUCAUUCCUCUUCACUGCUGUAUAACCUGUUAUAUUCUGUCCAGCUGAGGAGGGAAGUGACAGGGAGGCUUUGGUGUCCAGCCAGGAUCAACAGUUGCAUUUAAUUUACCUUGAGCAGACCACAGCAACAGGGAGCUCACUGGAUUGCAAGAGGAAAGUGCUCCUGAAAUGUGCCAGUGAUUUCCCUGGAGAGGGACACUGCUGGUGAGCAGCAGUGUGUGCUAGGAAAGCAUUGCUGAAGACCUGGAGUGGCCACAAGUGAGCACAGAAAAGUAGUGGGGAAGCUGUAUCACUGACAGUGGUCUAUUUGAUGCAACUUAAACAACUAACAGAUGUAGACCUUGGACAUCACAGUCAGAGCUUCCGUUCCCUUUAUCAAAAUAUUCCUCAGGAUCAAGAAUGACUGUGGAAAAAUGUGUCAGUCAUGGAGUCAACACUGAAUUGUAAGAAGCAAUCAUAAUAAUACUAAAUUUGGAAAUUUUUGAAUGUUUUAUUUUUCUGAAAUUAUUUUCAUAUAAAUUAAACCCUAAGAGAAUAAUACAAUUACUUUGAAGGUUAAUUCUGCUAUUUUGUCAGUCAUAGGACUGUGAGCUCUUUCCUGUGGCUCAGCCACAUUUAUGCUUGGGAGAAGCCACCUCAUGGCUUGUGUGUUUGAAGUUUACAACAGCUAAUGUAUGUUGCAUUGAAAGAUGCAACUGUGCCUAUGGAGUAGAUGUAUCUCUUGUUAGUCUUUACCACCAGGCUUAGUUUGGGUGGUCUCUAGGGGGUGUGUACGUAUGCAAGGGAAAUCGGCAGAGCCCUGGGAAGGUGCUGGGAACCUCCAUCUUGGCUUGCUGCUAAUACUCUCUAAAAUAGGAAACAAUGAUGCAUUUGCUCCAAAAUCCUGCACAGAGCAGGGAAUAUUAUUUUAUGCAUGGUAAUCUAACAUAAAUGUAGGGGAUUUUCUUGGUGAAUAUGAGGAGGAAGCAAGUCCUGAAAGCAAAGUGUUUUGUUGUCCAUGCCUGAAUUUGUCUGAGCCUGGAAAAACCACGAAACAUUCCUAAAUCCUGCUGUGUCCUCAUAAUGUUCUGGAAGACAGCAUAAGCACAGUGUAAGUGUAGGCUCCUCCUCCUGUGGCCCACUUGACAAGUGAGUUUUUGCUGUUCCAGGUCAUGACAGUGGCAGGUGGGGCACAUGGAGGUAAUGCAGCUUGGCAGACUCUUCCAAGGCUCAUCCACACUGCAGGAGAGCAUAUCCUAGAGAAUAUUUAAAUACUUGGUGUGCACAUCAAGUUUUCCCAGAGAAAACUAGUUUAAUGGCCUCAAACUGCUCAAAAAGCCCAGUGGGUAAGCAGUGGUGGACUGAUGGAGAAGUUGGCUUCAAAGCCACUUGGCAUGGCAAGGUAAAUAUUAUCACCUCAAGAUUAAAAUUUGCUUUAAAAUAGCACUUUUUUGAGUAAAUUAUAAAUCUUGUGAUAAUUUAUGGCCUUCUGAGGGGGUGCAGUUAUUUGUCUUUGCCACUUGGCACUGUUUUUCUCUUUGACCUCUAUAUUUUUAAAUAAUUUGAGAAAGAAACCAAAAACCUCUCACUCAUAACCAAGGAAGAAACAGUAGUCUUCUGAGUUCCAGAUAUAUGCAUUGGUGUAAGCUGUGUGUGCAUUAUUAUUUAUUAUCAUAAAUGGCAAUGUCUACUAGCAUAUGCAGAAUUGCUCAUAAUUUAGUAGAUUUGUUAAAGCUGAUGUUAUUUCAUGCAAACGUAUUUUGAGCAUGUCUCUUAGUGUGGCGCCAGAAGUGAAAUAAAUUUCACUGCUUAACUUCUUUGCUGUGGCUGACUGAAUGACUUCAGGCAUGGCAGUGAGCAAUACUUCAUUCUCUGGUGUAAUUUGUAUAUAUAGCUUAUUUGUGACAAAUUAACUUUUUCUAGGGAAGCAUGGAAAAAAGUGCAAA